AAAGCCUGACGCAGCGACGCCGCGUGAGGGAAGAAGGCCUUCGGGUUGUAAACCUCUUCAGGAGGGACGAAGCCACUCGGGUUAAUACCCCAGAGGGUGACGGUACCUCCAGAAGAAGCCCCGGCUAACUACGUGCCAGCAGCCGCGGUAAUACGUAGGGGGCAAGCGUUGUCCGGAAUCAUUGGGCGUAAAGCGCGUGUAGGCGGCCAGAUAAGUCCGCUGUGAAAUCUCGAGGCUCAACUUCGAGCUGUCGGUGGAAACUGUCUGGCUAGAGUCCGGAAGAGGAGAAUGGAAUUCCUGGUGUAGCGGUGAAAUGCGCAGAUAUCAGGAAGAACACCCGUGGCGAAGGCGGUUCUCUGGGACGGUACUGACGCUGAGACGCGAAAGCGUGGGGAGCGAACAGGAUUAGAUACCCUGGUAGUCCACGCCGUAAACGAUGGGAACUAGGUGUGGGCGGUGUCGACUCCGUCCGUGCCGAAGCUAACGCAUUAAGUUCCCCGCCUGGGGAGUACGGCCGCAAGGCUA
This 525-nucleotide ribosomal RNA is filed under the name uncultured Actinomycetes bacterium. RNAcentral's name for it is "bacterial SSU rRNA". It matches the Rfam family "Bacterial small subunit ribosomal RNA", at positions 378 to 896 of the family's 1533-position model. The record is from RNAcentral. Lineage: Bacteria; Bacillati; Actinomycetota; Actinomycetes.